This is a long non-coding RNA of Lycium ferocissimum, 339 nucleotides long. RefSeq lists it as uncharacterized. The record is from RefSeq and is a predicted model, not a curated record. NCBI's taxonomy places the organism in Eukaryota, Viridiplantae, Streptophyta, Magnoliopsida, Solanales, Solanaceae. The transcript is spliced from 3 exons.
AAGGACCAAAUAUGUUAUCAAAACUUGUAUAAAUAGCCAACUUGCAACCCUUCACAAACACUCACAAAGAAUUUUGCAUAACAUUUUUAUCAACUCUUCCAAAUUUCUCCAAAUUUCUAGGGUUUCUUUUCUUCUUCGGAAUUUUCUGAUUUGGAAAGAUCGUUAAUUGUUGGAGAAAAUUCGGAUUUGGAACAAAACAUCAAUUUUUUAAAAAUAUUUGUGAAUGUUCUAAUGGAGUCGAAAGGUGGCAAAAAGAAGUCUAGUAGUAGUUCCUUAUUUUACGAAGCUCCCCUCGGCUACAGCAUUGAAGACGUUCGACCAAACGGUGGAGUCAAGAAG